GGUGAACGCUGGCGGUAGGCCUAACACAUGCGAGUCGAACGGCAGCACAGUAAGAGCUUGCUCUUACGGGUGGCGAGUGGCGGACGGGUGAGGAAUACAUCGGAAUCUACUUUUUCGUGGGGGAUAACGUAGGGAAACUUACGCUAAUACCGCAUACGACCUACGGGUGAAAGCAGGGGAUCUUCGGACCUUGCGCGAUUGAAUGAGCCGAUGUCGCAUUAGCUAGUUGGCGGGGUAAAGGCCCACCAAGGCGACGAUCCGUAGCUGGUCUGAGAGGAUGAUCAGCCACACUGGAACUGAGACACGGUCCAGACUCCUACGGGAGGCAGCAGUGGGGAAUAUUGGACAAUGGGCGCAAGCCUGAUCCAGCCAUACCGCGUGGGUGAAGAAGGCCUUCGGGUUGUAAAGCCCUUUUGUUGGGAAAGAAAAGCAGCAGGUUAAUACCCCGAUGUUCUGACGGUACCCAAAGAAUAAGCACCGGCUAACUUCGUG
This 492-nucleotide ribosomal RNA is filed under the name uncultured bacterium. RNAcentral describes it as "partial 16S ribosomal RNA". It matches the Rfam family "Bacterial small subunit ribosomal RNA", at positions 28 to 507 of the family's 1533-position model. The record is from RNAcentral.